AGCGAACGCUGGCGGCAGGCCUAACACAUGCAAGUCGAACGAACUCUUCGGAGUUAGUGGCGGAAGGGUGAGUAACACGUGGGAACGUGCCUUUUGGUUCGGAAUAACUCAGGGAAACUUGUGCUAAUACCGAAUGUGCCCUUCGGGGGAAAGAUUUAUCGCCAUUAGAGCGGCCUGCGUCUGAUUAGCUAGUUGGUGAGGUAACGGCUCACCAAGGCGACGAUCAGUAGCUGGUCUGAGAGGAUGACAAGCCACACUGGGAGUGAGACACGGCCAGGACUCUUACGGGAGGCAGGAGUGGGGAAUCUUGAGCAAUGGGCGAAAGCCUGACGCAGCCAUGCCGCGUGAAUGAUGAAGGUCUUAGGAUUGUAAAAUUCUUUCACCGGGGACGAUAAUGACGGUACCCUGAGAAGAAGCCCCGGCUAACUUCGUG
Molecule: ribosomal RNA, 433 nt
Filed under: uncultured bacterium
Lineage: Bacteria
Description: partial 16S ribosomal RNA
Rfam family: Bacterial small subunit ribosomal RNA
Source: RNAcentral